CACUCCAAAACUACUUCUAAAAAAAAAAUUAGCUUUCGCCUUUCCCCCGUUUCCAAUCAAUCUCCGUUUUAUCCUAGUAACAGCCGGCGUGGUCCAGGUAGCCUUCUCUGAGUGGUUUACUUUCCUCAGGCAAUCUUUCGAACAGCCCUAGCUCCUUCCAUCCUUCAAGUUCCACGGGAUGUCAACAAUCCGGAAGUUGAUGUCCUGGGAGGCAGGGCCCUGAAAAGCUUCUUGGUUUUGAGCCCCUCUCACACUAUGUAGAAGAGUUUUUCCGUUUCUUGGAGACUUUACCAGUUCUCGUGGGUUGUUAUUGUUUCUCUCGGAAACAAAAUUUAUCUUCUCCUAUAAAGCCAUUUCUCCACGCUUCUCAUCAAGCAACAAACAUUCAUUAGGCGCUUGCUGUGUGCCAGGUGUUCUGGGAAUUUAAAGACACCACCGCGUCUUCCAAGCGAAGAGCAGCUCUCAGACAGAGAAGACUUCAGGCUACAGACUCCAGACUCCAUCUCCAGACCAGCUAUGUGGCGACUCUCCUCCCUCCUUCACUUCCCCACCUAAAGACCAAGGACUUGGGUUGGUCCCAAGGCCCUCCAGAGAGCUAGCCCAGACUUUACAAUGCAUGAUAAAUGUGGAUAUAUAGAGAGAAGAACUGUGUAUCUUAACAUUUGUGGAAUCACUGUCUAGGAGAGAGAGUAGGAGGAAGAGAGGGAGAAGAAUUUGGGACACAAGAUUUUGCAAAGGUGAAUGUUGAAAACUAUUUUUGCAUGUAUUUGGGAAAUAAAAAGCUUUUUUUUUUUUUUUUUUUAAAGAGCUACUACAAACAUUUUUGCACAUGGCUCCUUGUUAUGGGCCAGAACUCUGAACUUGAAACAAAGGAUUCUUACAAGGUAUUAAAUCAGUGGAAUUGAUAGAGACAAUGGUAAUUUAGCUUGGUGCUUAACAGUUCUCUAGUUCAGUACAUGUACUUAGUACUUACUAUACAAGAUUCACACCUUUGAUUAGAGAAGAUAUAAGCUCGAACAAACUCAGCCAGAAUGAGAACUAGGGAAGAUGGAGAAGUGGUGGCAGGCUCUUGUCCUUCGCUUCUCCACUGAAACCAAGACUCUAGAAGGCCUCCAGAAAAACUAGCCGAGCCCCAAGUGAAGGAGAUAAUAAAGAAUUUGGACUUUAACACCUGGCUAUACUCGUGUGAUGAUUACUGAACUGAAAUGAAGGCUGAUUCCAGAGACCCCAAGAGAACCUCAACAGAGAACAUUACAUUUUAGAAAGAAUAUUACAGGUCCUUUUCCCUCUUUUAUGAUAUUUUUGGGAUACAGACCCAGUAAUGAUCAAAGAGUAUGUGCAGUCCAACCUUUUUUUUACCCUGAGGCAAUUGGGGUUAAGUGACUUGCCCAGGGUCACACAUCUGGGAAGUAUUUAGUGUCUGAGGUCAGAUUUGAACUCAGGUCCUCCUGACAUCAGGGCUGGUACUCUAUCCAGCUGCUCCCCCAACUUACUUUUUAGACCAAUUUGGCAUUUCUCCCCUUUGUGUAUACAUUCCCACCAAACCUAAAUUUAGCAUUGCCUCUCUGUUUUCCACAGUUUACUCUCUCAUGACUGAUGUUCACUCUUUCCUAAUCUCAGACUUUUAGAAUUCUUGGUUUUUUAAGGAUUUACCUGAAUUCUUUUCUGAUUCCCCACCUAGUGCCUUCCUUCUUGAUAAUUUGCAUUGUAUCCUGUUUGUUUUGUUUGUGUGUGUUUGUUUUGCAUGUUGUCUGUCUUUCCUACUAGUCUGAGGGCAGGGAGUAUAUCUUGCCAUUUGUUGGAUUCCUAGCACUUAACAGAGUACUCGGCACAUAGUAAAUGCUUGAUAGAUGUUUAUGACUCUGGCCAGUUCAGGUUUCCUUUCACAUGGAAAGCUUUUCUUGAUCCCCUAGUCUUUGGCAUUCCUUUCUAGCUGUGGUCAUGGAGAGAACCGAGCCUGGAGUCAGGGCAGCCUGAGUUCAUAUGUGGUCUCAGCUCUUUCUAGCUGUAUGACUCUGGGCCAUUCAGCCUUGUCCAUCUUCCUUUUCUGAUCUGUAAAAGCUUUUUUGCAAGGCUCAGAGUAAUCUGGCUGUGUGACCCUGGGCAAACCCCAAUUAUCUCACCAAAAAAAAAAAAAAAAGGAAUUGUUUGUUCAUAUCUUUUGAUCAUUUCUCAAGUGGGGAAUGAUUUUUGUUAUGAAUUUGUAUUAGUCUUAUUUCAUACAGUUCCUUAAAUUCUUCAUAUUUCUUGUUAGUGAUUUUUAAAAAAUAAAAUUCUAAUAUAAUUCCAAAUUGUUUUCCUGAAUUAUUGGAUCUACUUAUAGCUCUGCCAAGUGUAUUAAUGUGCCUCUUUCCCCCAUAGUCCUUCCACUAUUUACCAUUCUUACCACUUGCCCCAACUUCAGUAGUCUUUCCUUUGAAAUAGUUAACCAAAAUCAAGAUAAAACCACCAGAGUAUGCAGUGUUCCAUAUCCAUAGGUGCAUAGAUUUAGAGAAAAGAACUUUAAAGAUCAGUUAUUUCACUAUCUUCCUAUUGUCUUUACUAAUUUGAUGUAUAUGCAGUAAAACUCCAAAGUUGUUUUAUUGUGCAUUUCUUUUAUUAGUAAUGUUAUUUUAUUUGCAGCAUUUUUUCAUAUGGUUAUUUCAUAGUUCUUCCUUUGAAAACUGCCUGCUAUAUCUUUUCAAGACUGACUGUACACAUCAGGGAAUGCUUUUGUUCUUAAAUCUUUCCAGACUCAUUUAAACAUUACUCAUCCCUACUUCGCCCGCUCUGCAGUCCAGUCAAAUUGGCUUGCUUUCUGUUCCUCACAUGAUACUGUUUCCCCACUUGUAAUGGGCCAGAAUUCUGGAGAAAUGUACUUGAAACAAGGAUUCUUACAAAGUGCUAACUCACUGGAAUUGAUAAGACAAUGGUUAUCAAGUUUAGCAUGUGAGUUCUCUAGUUCAGUAUGGUUAAAUUAAUCUUACAACAAAUAAUAGUUCCCUGUGAUAUGAUAAUUGGCUUUAUGAUGAAUGGAUUUAAUUGUAACAGUAUUUAAGAGGUCAUAGUCAGACCUAGAAACAGACUUGGAGAAGACAGAGGACUGGAGGCUGGAGCUCAAGCUCUCCGACUUAGACAGUCCAUCUUCAUCAGUCUCAUGGUGGCUGGCCUGUCCUCCUGCAUCCCCCAUUGAGACCAAGGCCCAUCUGAAGGGCCUCCAGAAAGCUAGCCGAGCCCCAGGCAAGGAGACAGACUGAAGGAGACAAUAAAGACUUUUGGAGUUUAUCCCUGGCCAUUCUUGUUGUGAUUACUCAGCUGAAAUGAAGACUGGUCCCAAGACCUCCAGAAAGCUAACCAGGACAUUACAGCCAUUCUCUGCCUUUGUCUCCCAAGCCUGCAAGGCACGUCUUCCCUAUUUCAGACUCAGAAUUCUUUUAAGACAUAGCUCAAGCACCAUCUACAUAAAGUCUUUUCUGAUUCCCUCAGCAGCUGGCAUCCUCCUCCCUCAAACCACCUUGUAUUUAACUAUUUUGUGUAUAUUUGCAUUUAUUCACUUUAUAUUAAUCCUAUAAAUAUGGGCAGCUAGGAUAGAGCCUUGUGCUAAGAAAAUCUCAAAUAGGGUCACAAAGAUAGGAAUGAAAAAACCAAUAAAUGAAAAUAUAUUUACUAUGUGUGCUUUUUGUCUCCAUUAAAAUGUAAGCACGUUGUGUGUAGGGAUUUCCCCCCUCCACCCAUUUGUAUCUCUAGUGCCUGGCACAUUGUAUAUGCCUAAUAAAUAUCUAUUAAUUGAUUAUGUUUGGAUCACAUUCGUAUUUUUCUCCCAUAAGACUUUUCCUUCCCAGACCCUCAACUGGUAACUUUAUUUGCUCACUACCUUCAUCUGUAAUGCUUACCUUUUAGAACUGCCCUCUUGCCCAGCUUUCUCAGUCUUGAGUCUUUGCUCUAUAUUCCCAGGGUCCAUCUAGCUCUGACAUCCUAUGGCUCCUUAGAGUGUAGGGAGCAGUUUUGGCCAGUGCCUUCUGCUAAGGCAUAUUCAUUUGGGGGUGGGUGAUGGAGGAGGUCCUGGAAUAGCAGCCCGCUCCCCUACCUCCUAGGGGGAAGGCUUCCUCUUAGAGGGGAAUAAUGUGGGGCCAGGGAAGGUUACAGGGUGAGGUCACUGAAGGAUGGAGCUGCCAUCUGCUGGCUUCUUUGUUUAACAAACAGCUACACAAUCUGUCAAAAGUUUUAUCAAUGCCUGUUAAUCUUAGCCAUUUCCCUAAAUACUCCUUUCCUUCCAAUCCCCAAACCUGAGUCUUCUCAUCUAACACAGAAAACUUAAUUCAAAUCAAGGGACACAGUGAAUAGAGUAUGCAAUAUUCGAUUAGAUCAUAGAUGUGGGGAUGGAAGUAAUCUUAGAGAUCAUUGGUUCAAAGCACUUUUACAGAUAAGCAAACUGAGGUCUAGAGAGGUUAGGUGACUUGUCCCUAUAGCUUUGUUAGCUAGGUUUGGUGUUACCUGGGCUCCAUUCCCCACUCUAAUUAUUAUGGCUUGAAUGGCCCCCAGACUUUUCCCCAUACUCCAGUACCAGCGUUUGUUGGGACAUAAUUCUGUAGCUGCUGCUUGCCUCUAGCACCCUGGGGAUGCUGUGGCCUAGAAGGGGGUAUGAGGGGGACAGAUACACUUUUCAGGCUUUGGUGUAGGCUACACAGUCACUGAGAUCGUCAAAAAUGGUACAGAGGGUACAGGGCCCAGAUGGGAAACAAACAAAACGUGGUAGAGAACACAGGGCAUAGUAAAACAAGAUGCUUUAAAAAUACACUGAUGCCCAUCAGUUGGCAAAUGGCUGAAUAAGUUAUGGUAUAUGAAUGUUAUGGAAUAUUAUUGUUCUGUAAGAAAUGACCAGCAGGAUGAUUUCAGAAAGACCUGGAAAGUCUUACAUGAACUGAUGCUAAGUGAAAUGAGCAGGACCAGGAGACCAUUGUACAUGGCGACAACAUUAUAUGAUGAUCAAUUCUGAUAAACAUGGCUCUUUUCAACAAGAUGAUUCAUACCAGUUCCUUUGGUCUUGUGAUGAAGAGAGCUAUUUAGAGAGAAAGGACUGGGAACUGAAGGUGGAUCACAACAUAGUAUUUUUACUCUGUUUGCUUGCAUUUUUCUCAUUUUUUUAUCUGAUUUUUUUUGUGUGCAGCAUGAUUAUAGAACUGUGUGUAAAAGAAUUGCAUGUUUAACAUAUAUUGGAUGACUUGCCAUUUAGGGGAGGGAAGGACAAGAGGGGAAAUUUGGAACACAAGAUUUUGCAAGGCUGAAUGUUGAAAAAUUAUCCAUGCAUACAUAUGUUUUGAAAAUAUGAAAAAAUUACAGUCCCGGGAAGUGUUUUGAAUAAAGUAAUUACUUCCAGGUGGAUUGAUUUACAAUGUUUUCAUUUCCUUAUUGGGCUAAUCACCACUAGGAUAAGAGACUACUAUGUCUAAUCUGGAAUGUCUUCUCUAGCAUCCUUUGCUAUGGGCUGCACAUAGUAAGUGCUUUAGAGAAAAGUCUUUUGCAAAAUUGGAGCAUUGCUAAUAAAAAAAUCUUCUAACCCAUCACCUUGCCUCUAAUACCUUCUUUUUCAGUCUCAACUCGGAAGCCAACAUGGGUCAUUUCUUCUUAAAGACAUUGUUAUCAGUGGUUCUCAUUGCUACAAGUCUCAUAUUAGAAGUCUAUCUUCUCUUCCCUACUUCCUCCUAUUUCUUUGUUCCCUUCACUUUCCUGUUUCCCUACAAAGUUUCCUCACCGUAGAACUUGUCAAAUUCUAGAUACAGCAGAUGCAUUCCUGCCUUUCCUUUAGUCCCUUUCCAAAGCAAUCAGAGCAACAGGGACUCACUGUUGCUAUUGCUUUGGUGGUUCUCAUGUGUAUAUAUACACAGUACAAUGCCUGUCACAUAGUAGGCAUUCUGUAAAAUGCUUAUUCCUUCCUUUUCUCCAUCUUCCUAUUCUCUGGCCUGGGCAUUAAAACCACUAUAAAUUUUUUUUGGAGAGGGUGAUGUUGUGAGGGUCAAAUGAAGUAGUAAUUAUAUUUAUAGAGUUAAAAUAGUUUCAAAGAGCUUUUUGUAUAGUCUUUUAUAUAGACAGGGCAUCAUCUAUCACUCCCGUUAAAUUUUUUUCAAUAGUAAUUUAUUUUUCCUAAUACAUAUAGAGUUUAACAUUCAUUUUUUGACUUUCAAAUUUUUCUUCCUUUCGUCUCAUCUCCUCCCCAAGACAGCAAGUUAGUUAAACGUGCAUUUCUUUUAAACAUUUCCAUAUUUGUCAUGUUGUAAUCACUCCCAUUUUAAAGAUGAAGAAACUGAGUCACAGAGAGGUUAGAUGAGUUGCCAAGAUCACUGAACUAGUACAUCGCAGAGGCAGAUCUUAAAACUCAAGUCCACUACAUUCAGUCCUUGUUCUUUCAUAAUCUUUCAGAAGUUCAUCAGCAAGAUUUGGAAUCUGAGAAGUCCCUCCCUCGAUCUUGGCCUAUUUCACCACUAACAAAGUGCUCACCAUUCCUCCAUGGCUAAGGCUCCUCCCAGUUUUACAGGCUUGGUUCUGUGCUGCUCCUAGCCUCUGCUCCAAAGUCUUUUACCCUUUCUUUCCUCUUCUCAGAAAGUGCUUUCAAAAAGGAGGUGUGAUGUUCCCAACUGGACCCAUCAGCAAAAUUCAUCCUAGGAUUAAGACACACAUGCGCACGCACACACACGGCAGAGACUAGUGCUUUGUCACCUUAUUUAUUAGAGAUCACCUUUUCAAAGUAAAAAGAGGUGGGGAGAGGUCAGGACGAGGGGUUUGCAUACAAGUGUUAUUCUGUGUCAGCAGUGGUGGCAAGGGUCUACAGAAAAAUUCUGAGUUCGAGAGACAUCGUCAAAGAGGAGGCCAUGCCUCGAUUGUCAAAUACCAGACAAAACAGGAAUUGAGUACAGGGGAUCCCUCUUUGAGGAUUAAGACACACAAGGUUUUUUUUUUGUUUGUUUAAAUCAGUUACGCUGUGAGACUGGAUCAAUCAGACAUCGAAGCAAUUUUGCCACCAGAAGGCCAACAAGGAGCUACUGUAGAGACAACAAACA
This is a long non-coding RNA of Antechinus flavipes (yellow-footed antechinus), 7034 nucleotides long. RefSeq lists it as uncharacterized. The transcript has 2 exons. Lineage: Eukaryota; Metazoa; Chordata; Mammalia; Dasyuromorphia; Dasyuridae. The record is from RefSeq and is a predicted model, not a curated record.